GGAUAUGAGGGCCAUCUGGCUGCCCUGUCACCCCAUUGAUCACCAGGGUUGAUUCAGCUGAUCUGGCUGGCUAGGAGGGUGUCCCCUUCCUCCCUCAGCAAUCCAUGUGGGACCCUCCUGAAGCUGCGCACUCGGUCGAAGAGGACGACCACCCCCGAUAGAGGACCGUUCCUUGGUAAAGGGUGUAAGAGUAGCUGCACUCCCCUGCUAGAACCCCCAAUCAAGCUCUCAAGAAUAUGGUCUCAAGGUACAUCCAUUUAGCUAGAAAUGUCUCUAGCUUAUCCUUCUUUGUGACACAGUAGUA
RNAcentral lists this small nuclear RNA (304 nucleotides) under Octodon degus (degu). Its description in RNAcentral is "7SK RNA (ENSODEG00000023693.1)". It matches the Rfam family "7SK RNA". From Rfam's summary of the family: 7SK was discovered as an abundant small nuclear RNA in the mid-70s but a possible function has only recently been suggested. Two independent studies have found that 7SK RNA binds the CDK9/cyclin T complex (known as elongation factor P-TEFb). Lineage: Eukaryota; Metazoa; Chordata; Mammalia; Rodentia; Octodontidae. The record is from Rfam by way of RNAcentral.